UGAUAUAAGAAAAGAAAAGAAAAAUCUGAGGAACAACAUAUAAUUUCUGCAAAUUAGAGGGGGGUGAUGAGUAUUUUCCUUGCAAGGAAGAUGCCCCCAGCGGCCAGCGUUUGCGUUUCUCGACCUCCUUCUUUUAUAACGAAGUUGCCACACCUGGGCCUCAUAAUUGGGUUGAAUAUGAUACCGUACUUCCGAUGGGUCUACGUGGUAGAACAACGGUAAAAUUGUUGACCUCCGAUGAUUGAAACGGAAUCAACACCUUCACGGAUGGCGAGCUUAAAAGACGUGAUGAAAUUUCACCAGCACUGCUCAGUUCUCAAAGCGAUUGAAGAGCCAGAUCUAGAGACUAAACAUCAUCUAGAUGGCUCUUGGACGAGCUUGAUUUGUCCAAAAACAACGGGCCUGCAGGCUCUACCGUUGUUUUACCGCGUAGAUCCAUCAGCAGUACGUGUUGGAUUCUCCAUUCGCUGAACUUGAAGAAGAGUUCAAGGAUGAUGAACUGAAGGUGCAGAGGUGUAAGCAGGUAUUUCUAACCACUCCACCCUUGCACCUUCAUUUCAUCAUCCUUGAACAGGGGAAGAAAUUUGCUCAUCUCUGCUUCAAGUAAGCCGGAUUAUUACCCCUUUCUCUUAAUUGUAGUAUAGGGCCUCCCAUCUCUUUCAAAUGGAAAUCUAUCAUAAUCCAUUGACAUUUCAGUGCCUGUCAGACAUGAAAAUAUAGCCUGAGUUUAUCCUAUUUUAUUUUUAAUGAAUUUACACAAGAUUUGCAGGGCAGCGCACAUGAAGAAUAAGGGUAUCUUAAUAGCAAAAUGUUGAAGCAAACAGGGGCGGAUUCAUUGCUCAAUUCAUUUAUUGCUUCACUGCUCAAUUCCUUUUGGUAAAAAGAAAACAAAAAUACUCAUGUUAUGUGGAGUUAAAUGAGUAAUGCCAAGGAUGGUGGCGGAUCUACUCUCUUGCUGGGGAUGUAGACUAGGCCAGUACAGAAAUAGUUUAUGGAACUUGAUGCCAUUAUGUCUAAUGUGGAUAUUCGGGCUUGAAAGAAAUUAUUGGCCUUUUGAAGGAUUGAACUUCCUUUAGACAGAUUGAAGCAUCUAUUUUUUAAUUGCUUUUUCACUGAAUGUCUCUAGAUUGUAACAUUCCUUUUUAAGAGUUAUUGGAAAUGAAUACAUCCUGCGUGCUUCAUUAUAAUUAAUAUUAUUACUUAUCAAGGAAAAAGUUGAACCAAAUUAUGCCUAUCAGAUAUUAAUUUCAGAUGAAAUGAGCCUGAGUUAAUAGGGUUUAAAGAGUUGAAAGUAUCACAAUAUGUUGUCUGAGUAGAAAAUGUUAAAAGAAUGGUCAAUAUUGUUGAAGUAAAUUAUGCCUACUUUAAUCAGUUUAUACAAGUUAUUUGAUUGGAUCAAGUUUGUGUUUUACAGAUGAAUUUUGUCUUCUGCUCAUACAGGGAUAUUUCAAGUAACUCUCUGAGUGUAUAUAUCCCUCGGUCACUUGGGAAGCUGGAUGAGCUCAUUAUUAUUGUUGCCUUUUUGGACAUUUUGAAGCAAUGUGUCAACCAAUUUUCUGAUGGGGCCAAUACCCUCUGAUGGUGUGCUAAUCAACUUAACAGAAAGCUCAUAAGUGCAGCUUCUCCUGAUCUGCUAUGUUUAUAAUGUGAAUUUUAUCAUCAAGCAGCUCUUUGUUUAAUAAUUCAUGAGAUUUAAGGGAGUUUUCUAUGCUAAGUUCAUUUUCUUUUAAUAAUUUUGUUUGUUGGUAAGAGACAAGUAUUAUUAAUGAAAUAUUACAGAAUAUUGUUGAUGAUAGGGAAGGCGACAGAUUUCAUUGCUACUCUACUCUUGACAAAACUUUGUUUAUGUUCUGUAACCUGCCACAGUCACCGGCCUGUUGUAUUAAGCUUAACAAUGCAGUAAUUUACCCAAAAUAUUAUCCUAAUGGCCAGACCAUUAGGGUACUUAUACAGUUGUAUUAAGCUUAACAAUGCAGAUUGUUGGCAAUCGUGGUUUGUGUGGUAAGUAAAUCAACAUGGCAUUCAAGUAAGAUGAUGGAGGACCUGAAACUAAUUCCCAAUCUCCAACCUCAGGUAAAAUAAUUACACAUAGGAACUUCAUUGGUUGUGUUUUAUUUCACCGGAGAUAGGUGGAAAUUUUGGAUCAUGGAGCAUUCAGCUUCCAUUUAUUAGAAAGUGAGGAUUAUACUAUUUGUAUGGUUUCCAUACUGAUCUGAAGAGUUGUUAGAGUCCUGAUGUAACUCAAUCAUUUUAGUUAAUCGAUUCAUACUUUUGACAUCAUUGUAUUCAACAUGGGAUUAAUUCUGAGGACUUAUACAAUCUAGAAUUUCACCUUAGUAGCCCAAAAUCAGGCAUAAAGUCAAACUCCAGAUGUGUUUUCUUGUUCCAUACCAUCAGGACGUGGAGAAACUGAUAGAGGAGGUUCAAGAGGCUAGAAGAAUCAAAUUGUUGCAUCAGCCAAGCAAGGCAUUUUUGUGGGUUGUAGUGCUCCCAAAAGGACGAUCUGAUCCAUUUGCAAAAUAAACUUCUUUAUAAGAUCCUGGCGACUCCAGUAAGAUUGAUUAUGAAAUUACUUUGAUAAAGCAUAGGGUUUUCUUUAAAAGGGUAUUAGUUCUUGAUGAUGUGGAUCAUUCAUUCAUUCCAGUUUGUAUCUUUUGAUUACUUAUCAAAAAUAAAUAAAUAAAUUAUAGUUUUAGCAAGUGUUAAAAUCUCGUCCUUUGCAGUUGGCUUAAGAACUUUAUAAUAAUAUUUAUAUCAUAUAUGAACUCAAGCUUGAGUGAAAUCAAAUUUUAGGUACUACUGAUAUGGCUCAGUAUUGUGAUAGUGACUCGUAUUGAUGAUUAGCUAGAAUUCUGUGUGGGGAUUGCUUCCGCAGAUUUUGCAGUCAGUAAUUUCGAUGAGAGCCCAACCUGUGGAUGCGGGUUUGAUUGUGUUAAUGUGAAAGGAAGGAAGAUUAAGCCCAACUCUUCUUAAGUGAGCUUAAGUAGUUUAAGCUUUAAGAUAAAUAACAUGAUUACCAAUAAGCAGGUUGGAUUCUGUAUGCUUAAGUACUUGUCUUGAUGUACAUGUAUGAGAUAAUUAUCUUUCAUAUCUGAAAUGGGGUUUAUGUUUUGUA
Molecule: non-coding RNA, 3115 nt
Organism: Corylus avellana
Lineage: Eukaryota; Viridiplantae; Streptophyta; Magnoliopsida; Fagales; Betulaceae
Source: RefSeq, a predicted model, not a curated record